UACGUAGGGUGCAAGCGUUGUCCGGAAUUAUUGGGCGUAAAGAGUUCGUAGGCGGUCUGUCACGUCGGCUGUGAAAUCCCGAGGCUCAACCUCGGGUCUGCAGUCGAUACGGGCAAACUAGAGUAUUGCAGGGGAGACUGGAAUUCCUGGUGUAGCGGUGAAAUGCGCAGAUAUCAGGAGGAACACCGGUGGCGAAGGCGGGUCUCUGGGCAAUAACUGACGCUGAGGAGCGAAAGCGUGGGGAGCGAACAGG
RNAcentral lists this ribosomal RNA (253 nucleotides) under uncultured bacterium. Its description in RNAcentral is "partial 16S ribosomal RNA". It matches the Rfam family "Bacterial small subunit ribosomal RNA", at positions 524 to 776 of the family's 1533-position model. The record is from RNAcentral.